UGGUGGAGUGAUUUGUCUGGUUAAUUCCGAUAACGAACGAGACCUUAACCUGCUAAAUAGUUACGUUUACCUUUGUGUAGACGGUCAACUUCUUAGAGGGACUGCUGAUGUUUAAUCAGUGGAAGUUUGAGGCAAUAACA
RNAcentral lists this ribosomal RNA (140 nucleotides) under uncultured eukaryote. RNAcentral's name for it is "partial 18S ribosomal RNA". It matches the Rfam family "Eukaryotic small subunit ribosomal RNA", at positions 1299 to 1458 of the family's 1831-position model. The record is from RNAcentral.